RNAcentral lists this long non-coding RNA (2708 nucleotides) under Bos grunniens (domestic yak). RNAcentral's name for it is "lncRNA (ENSBGRG00000007393.1)". The record is from RNAcentral. Lineage: Eukaryota; Metazoa; Chordata; Mammalia; Artiodactyla; Bovidae.
AUGGCGUUUAGUCCCCUCGUGAGCACCAGGAAUCUGGGGGAUUUGAAGGGAAGCGUGUCCCUCACCAGAUACUUUUUAGUCGCUUGGUCUGACUGUGACCCUAUAGACCAUAACCUACCAGGCUCCUCUGUCCAUGGGAUUCUCCUGCGAGAAUACUGGAGUGGGUUGCCAUUUCCUUCUCCAGGGGAUCUGACCCAGGGACUGAACCCAUGUCUCACAUCUCCGGCAUUGGCAGGCGGGUUCUUUAGCACCAGCACCGCCUGGAAUGCCCAGAUCUGGGCACAGCACAUACGGUGCAUGAGAGGAGGCGACUGUUCCGAGCGGAAGGCUCUAAAGCCUGUUCAGUUGCCCUGGGAGAAUGCUGAGGGUUGUGUGGCUUGUGAGGGUGGGCAGGCGGGCUGGAUGGCGGCGACCCUGUAGAGACAGUUCCGAGGCCCUGCCGACGGACUGAAGGGGCGGGGGGAGGCCGGGAGUGGUCUCAGGUCCCCAGGUUGUAACCCACAUCGUGUGCCAUCAAGAUCGUUUAGUGAGUAUGCUUGUUCAUGCCUCGUGUUGUGCCUGUGCAAGAAGGGAGUCUUUAAUAUACUGCAGGUGGAAUUGUUGAAUUAAAUAUGUGCCUUUUAAAUGUCAAUAUGUUGUCAGACUUUCCUCUAUAGAUGUUUUACCGUUAAUGCCCGUUUCUUAGACCCUUGUAAUAUGGUAUCAACACGCUCUUCCCCAGUCUGUAGAUUUUCAAAAAUCUAAUUGCGUUUUAAUUUGCAUUUCUCUGAGUUUGCACAUUGUUCUAUAGCUUUCAGAGGCAUUUCCGAUUCCUUUCAGGGCACUUGGUGGCACUCUCUGAUUGCCAUUUCUCUUCUCGGAAGUUGGACUUUCUGGCCUUCUUUCAGGGUUUCUCACAUCACGAUCCCAGAGUUUGGGUGGAUAUAUUGGGAUCUUAUUAACGCAGUCGUUAUCUAUUCCUAUUUUAAGAGCUUGUCUUCAUGAAGAGGGAGUGUCGUGUUUCUGCAGGUGCCUUCAGAGCAUCUGGGGCCGGUCACUUGGCUCUUCUCCACUGAGCGGGGUCAGUGAGUGGGCUCAGGUCCCCAGGUUGUAACCCACAUCGUGUGCCAUCAAGAUCGUUUAGUGAGUAUGCUUGUUCAUGCCUCGUGUUGUGCCUGUGCAAGAAGGGAGUCUUUAAUAUACUGCAGGUGGAAUUGUUGAAUUAAAUAUGUGCCUUUUAAAUGUCAAUAUGUUGUCAGACUUUCCUCUAUAGAUGUUUUACCGUUAAUGCCCGUUUCUUAGACCCUUGUAAUAUGGUAUCAACACGCUCUUCCCCAGUCUGUAGAUUUUCAAAAAUCUAAUUGCGUUUUAAUUUGCAUUUCUCUGAGUUUGCACAUUGUUCUAUAGCUUUCAGAGGCAUUUCCGAUUCCUUUCAGGGCACUUGGUGGCACUCUCUGAUUGCCAUUUCUCUUCUCGGAAGUUGGACUUUCUGGCCUUCUUUCAGGGUUUCUCACAUCACGAUCCCAGAGUUUGGGUGGAUAUAUUGGGAUCUUAUUAACGCAGUCGUUAUCUAUUCCUAUUUUAAGAGCUUGUCUUCAUGAAGAGGGAGUGUCGUGUUUCUGCAGGUGCCUUCAGAGCAUCUGGGGGCCGGUCACUUGGCUCUUCUCCACUGAGCGGGGGGUCAGUGAGUGGGCUGGGCCUCCCAGCCUGAUUCUGUGCUCGGCAGCCCCCACCACCCCACCGUGGCCUCGGUAUCCUGUUCCUCAGCGCUUUCUGUUUGUGUGCCUUUCAUUUGGGAUAGCAUUUGCAUAUCGUUUUAAGUGCAUCUUAUUCAUCACUGAAACAGCUUCUGGAAGAUGGAGAACUUUGUCGUGAUUAAGUUACCUGACCCCUCAUUUAGCCCCUGCAGUUUAGCUGUGGUGUUUCACACGCGACCAGUUUGCAGUUGCCUCCUUGAAGUGCUGCUCCCCGUCUUAGCUUGGAUGCUCAGAGCUGAGCUCUCCUCCCUCCACGGGUGGGCUCUCCACGCCCACACCACCCCCGCCGGAAUACCCCCUUGACCUGCUCCUUCGCCUUGUGACUUAGCCACCGAGGUGAACAUCACUGCACGUGUCCAUCUGCUUGUCCCGUCAGCGGGUCUAAAAUGAUCCCAUCCUUCACCCCACCCCAAGCCCGCUGCUCCACUCGACGUGCCCGCGUCUGUUUGCGGUCACCCCUCAUGUUUCCCUGGUGGUCCCGGCUGCGUCACGGGUGUGCCCUGCCGCGUGCCACCCAGGGAGCCUGGUGGGGACAAGGAGGGCAGGGGGCAGACGCGGACACCUCUUCACAGCCAGACGGUGGCCUCCCGUGCAGCUCAGACUGAGUGUGUGCUCAGAGGGGAGGGGGCGUCUGGAAGGAUUAUUACUCGGUCACUAUGUCUCUGCAGAAAGAAAAGUUAUUUAAAAGCAAAAAUGACCUGUUGAAUUUUGUAAUGAAGAGACCGGAUUUCACUGUGUAAAGACUCGGAUGAUUUAUAAGUCUUUAAACCCCAGUGGAGGAAAAGUUAUUACUUAAUACUAUCUUAGACAUUCAGUCUUACUGAAAGAAUCUCGGUAGAAGGCAAUUAGAAGCUUCAGGUGCGCUUUUGCCUCUGCCGGAGGGUUGGGGCAGAUGGCAUUCCUGUCCUGGGCGAUUUGGAGCCUGAGGACGACAGCACUGUUAGAACGCGGACUUUUACAGCCGGCUUCGAC